This 1490-nucleotide ribosomal RNA is filed under the name Acinetobacter sp. V1(2012). Its description in RNAcentral is "bacterial SSU rRNA". It matches the Rfam family "Bacterial small subunit ribosomal RNA". The record is from RNAcentral. Lineage: Bacteria; Pseudomonadati; Pseudomonadota; Gammaproteobacteria; Moraxellales; Moraxellaceae.
UAGAGUUUGAUCAUGGCUCAGAUUGGACGCUGGCGGCAGGCUUAACACAUGCAAGUCGAGCGGGGAAAGGUAGCUUGCUACCUGACCUAGCGGCGGACGGGUGAGUAAUGCUUAGGAAUCUGCCUAUUAGUGGGGGACAACAUUCCGAAAGGAAUGCUAAUACCGCAUACGCCCUACGGGGGAAAGCAGGGGAUCUUCGGACCUUGCGCUAAUAGACGAGCCUAAGUCAGAUUAGCUAGUUGGUGGGGUAAAGGCCUACCAAGGCGACGAUCUGUAGCGGGUCUGAGAGGAUGAUCCGCCACACUGGGACUGAGACACGGCCCAGACUCCUACGGGAGGCAGCAGUGGGGAAUAUUGGACAAUGGGCGAAAGCCUGAUCCAGCCAUGCCGCGUGUGUGAAGAAGGCCUUUUGGUUGUAAAGCACUUUAAGCGAGGAGGAGGCUACCGAGAUUAAUACUCUAGGAUAGUGGACGUUACUCGCAGAAUAAGCACCGGCUAACUCUGUGCCAGCAGCCGCGGUAAUACAGAGGGUGCGAGCGUUAAUCGGAUUUACUGGGCGUAAAGCGUGCGUAGGCGGCUUUUUAAGUCGGAUGUGAAAUCCCUGAGCUUAACUUAGGAAUUGCAUUCGAUACUGGGAAGCUAGAGUAUGGGAGAGGAUGGUAGAAUUCCAGGUGUAGCGGUGAAAUGCGUAGAGAUCUGGAGGAAUACCGAUGGCGAAGGCAGCCAUCUGGCCUAAUACUGACGCUGAGGUACGAAAGCAUGGGGAGCAAACAGGAUUAGAUACCCUGGUAGUCCAUGCCGUAAACGAUGUCUACUAGCCGUUGGGGCCUUUGAGGCUUUAGUGGCGCAGCUAACGCGAUAAGUAGACCGCCUGGGGAGUACGGUCGCAAGAUUAAAACUCAAAGGAAUUGACGGGGGCCCGCACAAGCGGUGGAUUAUGUGGUUUAAUUCGAUGCAACGCGAAGAACCUUACCUGGUCUUGACAUAGUAAGAACUUUCCAGAGAUGGAUUGGUGCCUUCGGGAACUUACAUACAGGUGCUGCAUGGCUGUCGUCAGCUCGUGUCGUGAGAUGUUGGGUUAAGUCCCGCAACGAGCGCAACCCUUUUCCUUAUUUGCCAGCGGGUUAAGCCGGGAACUUUAAGGAUAAUGCCAGUGACAAAGUGGAGGAAGGCGGGGACGACGUCAAGUCAUCAUGGCCGUUGGGAACAGGGCUACACACGUGCUACAUGUCGUACAAAGGGUGCUACCUACGAUAGGAUGCUAAUCUCAAAAAGCCGAUUGUUGUCCGGAUUGGAGUUUGCAACUUGACUCCUUGAAGUCGGAAUUGCUAGUAAUCACGGAUCAAAAUGCCGCGGUGAAUACGUUCCCGAAAGGGUACACACCGCCCGUCACGCCAUGGGAAUUUGGACACCAGUAGGAGGUAGUCUGACGGCAAGGAGGACAUGUACCAGCGUGCGGCUGGCGUUUGGGGUAAGUCGUAACAAACUCU